This 508-nucleotide ribosomal RNA is filed under the name Pellonula leonensis (smalltoothed pellonula). RNAcentral describes it as "partial 12S ribosomal RNA". It matches the Rfam family "Bacterial small subunit ribosomal RNA", at positions 794 to 1527 of the family's 1533-position model. Lineage: Eukaryota; Metazoa; Chordata; Actinopteri; Clupeiformes; Clupeidae. The record is from RNAcentral.
GCCCUGCCGUAAACUUAGAUACUUACCACAACAAGCAUCCGCCCGGGUACUACGAGCGCCAGCUUAAAACCCAAAGGACUUGGCGGUGCUUCAGACCCCCCUAGAGGAGCCUGUUCUAGAACCGAUAACCCCCGUUCAACCUCACUACUUCUUGCUUUUCCCGCCUAUAUACCACCGUCGCCAGCUUACCCUGUGAAGGAACCAAAGUAAGCAGGAUGGGCAAUGCCCAAAACGUCAGGUCGAGGUGUAGCGUACGAAAUAGGAAGAAAUGGGCUACAUUAUCUGAAACAGAUUAACUAACGAAAAGUCGCCUGAAACCGGCGGCCUGAAGGAGGAUUUAGCAGUAAAGAGAGAAUAGAGUGCUCUCUUGAAGCCGGCUCUGAAGCGCGCACACACCGCCCGUCACUCUCCCCAACAACACACACAUUUUGUAAUUAACGUAACAAAAGCUACAAGGGGAGGCAAGUCGUAACAUGGUAAGUGUACCGGAAGGUGCACUUGGAAUAAC